AUGCCAUCGCUAAUAAGUCUAAGGAUUUUAAUGACGGGUAAAGUUUUUAUCGUAAUUAUCGAUCGAUAAAAAUGGCUAUUGGCGAUGGCAAAAUAUCAUUGCUAAUAGCCAUUUUUCUUGUAGUAGGAGGACCUCCCACCACAUCACCACUCUAGUCAUCCAUCCUAGUUGAGCACAACACUUUUUCGAAUGAAAUCCCAUA
This 202-nucleotide long non-coding RNA is filed under the name Elaeis guineensis (African oil palm). RNAcentral's name for it is "long non-coding RNA (EGUI_LNC034704)". The record is from RNAcentral. Lineage: Eukaryota; Viridiplantae; Streptophyta; Magnoliopsida; Arecales; Arecaceae.